Molecule: non-coding RNA, 21 nt
Filed under: Caenorhabditis elegans
Lineage: Eukaryota; Metazoa; Nematoda; Chromadorea; Rhabditida; Rhabditidae
Source: RNAcentral
UGCAUUUUCUCUGUAAGUUGG